UGGGGAAUUUUGGGCAAUGGGCGAAAGCCUGACCCAGCAACGCCGCGUGUGGGAUGAAGGCCCUCGGGUCGUAAACCACUGUCAGGAGGAAAGAAAAGUCGGCCGGAUAAUACUCGGUCGACCUGACGGUACCUCCAAAGGAAGCACCGGCUAACUCCGUGCCAGCAGCCGCGGUAAUACGGAGGGUGCAAGCGUUGUUCGGAAUUACUGGGCGUAAAGCGCGUGUAGGUGGUCGAGUAAGUCGAAUGUGAAAGCCCCGGGCUCAACCCGGGAAGUGCAUCCGAAACUGCUCGACUAGAGUCCCAGAGAGGAAGGCAGAAUUCCCAAUGUAGGGGUGAAAUCCGUAGAUAUUGGGAGGAAUACCAGUGGCGAAGGCGGCCUUCUGGACGAUGACUGACGCUGAGACGCGAAAGCGUGGGGAGCAAACAGGAUUAGAUACCCCCGUAGUCCCUGAGCGGGCUGGCAAGGCGCAU
RNAcentral lists this ribosomal RNA (473 nucleotides) under uncultured bacterium. Its description in RNAcentral is "bacterial SSU rRNA". It matches the Rfam family "Bacterial small subunit ribosomal RNA", at positions 355 to 825 of the family's 1533-position model. The record is from RNAcentral.